This is a non-coding RNA of Camellia sinensis, 200 nucleotides long. The record is from RefSeq and is a predicted model, not a curated record. NCBI's taxonomy places the organism in Eukaryota, Viridiplantae, Streptophyta, Magnoliopsida, Ericales, Theaceae.
UGGAAGCUAAAAAGGUUUUUGAUAGUGGGAAGAAAGAGUAAGGUAUUAAAGUUAAGGUGACAUGUCGGGACCAGCGUGUGGAGUAGACACAAAGCACUUUUAUUGAUGUAUUUUUUUAUGUAAAAAUCGGCCUUUUUGGUCAAUACCUUUUGUAAUAAAAAUAGAAGCUCCAAUGUUAUUUUAGUACCCUUAUUUAAAUA